Molecule: ribosomal RNA, 253 nt
Filed under: uncultured bacterium
Lineage: Bacteria
Description: partial 16S ribosomal RNA
Rfam family: Bacterial small subunit ribosomal RNA
Source: RNAcentral
UACGUAGGUGGCAAGCGUUGUCCGGAUUUACUGGGCGUAAAGAGCGCGCAGGCGGUCGUCCAAGUCGCGUGUGAAAGCCCCCGGCUCAACUGGGGAGGGUCACGCGAUACUGAUCGACUCGAAGGCAGGAGAGGGUAGUGGAAUUCCCGGUGUAGCGGUGAAAUGCGCAGAUAUCAGGAGGAACACCGAUGGCGAAGGCAGGUCUCUGGGCAUUAACUGACGCUGAGGAGCGAAAGCAUGGGGAGCGAACGGG